RNAcentral lists this ribosomal RNA (1404 nucleotides) under metagenome. Its description in RNAcentral is "bacterial LSU rRNA". It matches the Rfam family "Bacterial large subunit ribosomal RNA", at positions 1519 to 2925 of the family's 2925-position model. The record is from RNAcentral.
GUAAGGCUGGUGCGUAGGCAAAUCCGCGCAUCGUAAGGCUGAGCUGUGACGGGGAGGGAAAAUUACAGUACCGAAGGUCAUGAUCUCAAGCUGCCGAGAAAAGCCUCUAGCCAGGCGAAGGUGCCCGUGCCGUAAACCGACACAGGUAGGUGGGCUGAGAAUGCUAAGGCGCGCGGAAGAACUCUCGUUAAGGAACUCGGCAAAAUGACCCCGUAACUUCGGGAGAAGGGGUGCCUCGGUAGGGUGAAUAGCCCGAGGGGGCCGCAGUGAAAAGGCCCAAGCGACUGUUUAGCAAAAACACAGGUCUGUGCGAAGCCGCAAGGCGAAGUAUACGGGCUGACGCCUGCCCGGUGCUGGAAGGUUAAGAGGAGUGGUUAGCCGCAAGGCGAAGCUAUGAAUUGAAGCCCCAGUAAACGGCGGCCGUAACAAUAACGGUCCUAAGGUAGCGAAAUUCCUUGUCAGGUAAAUUCUGACCCGCACGAAUGGCGUAACGACUUGGGCGCUGUCUCAACGAGAGAUCCGGUGAAAUUUUAAUACCUGUGAAGAUGCAGGUUACCCGCGACUAGACGGAAAGACCCCAUGGAGCUUUACUGGAGCUUGAUAUUGGACUUUGGUACGAUCUGUACAGGAUAGGUGGGAGCCUUUGAAGGCGGAGCGCAAGCUUCGCUGGAGGCGCCGUUGGGAUACCACCCUGAUCGUAUCGGAGUUCUAACCCGCUACCGUAAUCCGGUAGGGGGACCGUGUCAGGCGGCCAGUUUGACUGGGGCGGUCGCCUCCUAAAAUGUAACGGAGGCGCCCCAAGGUUCCCUCAGAAUGGUUGGAAAUCAUUCGAAGAGUGCAAAGGCAUAAGGGAGCUUGACUGCGAGACCUACAAGUCGAGCAGGGACGAAAGUCGGGCUUAGUGAUCCGGUGGUACCGAAUGGAAGGGCCAUCGCUCAACGGAUAAAAGCUACCCUGGGGAUAACAGGCUUAUCUCCCCCAAGAGUCCACAUCGACGGGGAGGUUUGGCACCUCGAUGUCGGCUCAUCGCAUCCUGGGGCUGAAGUAGGUCCCAAGGGUUGGGCUGUUCGCCCAUUAAAGCGGUACGCGAGCUGGGUUCAGAACGUCGUGAGACAGUUCGGUCCCUAUCUGUCGUGGGCGCAGGAAAUUUGAGAGGAGCUGUCCUUAGUACGAGAGGACCGGGAUGGACGUACCGCUGGUGUACCAGUUGUCUCGCCAGAGGCACCGCUGGGUAGCUAAGUACGGACGGGAUAAGCGCUGAAAGCAUCUAAGCGUGAAGCCCCCCUCAAGAUGAGAUUUCCCAAUUAGUAAAACCCCUUGUAGACCACGAGGUUGAUAGGUUCGGGGUGGAAACGCAGCAAUGCGUGGAGCUGACGAAUACUAAUCGGUCGAGGGCUUAUCCAG